CUAUACAUGCAGUAGAACGCUGAAGAGAGGAGCUUGCUCUUCUUGGAUGAGUUGCGAACGGGUGAGUAACGCGUAGGUAACCUGCCUUGUAGCGGGGGAUAACUAUUGGAAACGAUAGCUAAUACCGCAUAACAAUGGAUGACACAUGUCAUUUAUUUGAAAGGGGCAAUUGCUCCACUACAAGAUGGACCUGCGUUGUAUUAGCUAGUAGGUGAGGUAAUGGCUCACCUAGGCGACGAUACAUAGCCGACCUGAGAGGGUGAUCGGCCACACUGGGACUGAGACACGGCCCAGACUCCUACGGGAGGCAGCAGUAGGGAAUCUUCGGCAAUGGGGGCAACCCUGACCGAGCAACGCCGCGUGAGUGAAGAAGGUUUUCGGAUCGUAAAGCUCUGUUGUAAGUCAAGAACGGGUGUGAGAGUGGAAAGUUCACACUGUGACGGUAGCUUACCAGAAAGGGACGGCUAACUACGUGCCAGCAGCCGCGGUAAUACGUAGGUCCCGAGCGUUGUCCGGAUUUAUUGGGCGUAAAGCGAGCGCAGGCGGUUUGAUAAGUCUGAAGUUAAAGGCUGUGGCUCAACCAUAGUUCGCUUUGGAAACUGUCAAACUUGAGUGCAGAAGGGGAGAGUGGAAUUCCAUGUGUAGCGGUGAAAUGCGUAGAUAUAUGGAGGAACACCGGUGGCGAAAGCGGCUCUCUGGUCUGUAACUGACGCUGAGGCUCGAAAGCGUGGGGAGCGAACAGGAUUAGAUACCCUGGUAGUCCACGCCGUAAACGAUGAGUGCUAGGUGUUGGAUCCUUUCCGGGAUUCAGUGCCGCAGCUAACGCAUUAAGCACUCCCGCCUGGGGAGUACGACCGCAAGGUUGAAACUCAAAGGAAUUGACGGGGGCCCGCACAAGCGGUGGAGCAUGUGGUUUAAUUCGAAGCAACGCGAAGAACCUUACCAGGUCUUGACAUCCCGAUGCUAUUUCUAGAGAUAGAAAGUUACUUCGGUACAUCGGUGACAGUGGUGCAUGGGUGUCGUCAGCUCGUGUCGUGAGAUGUUGGAUAAAGUCCCGCAACGAGCGCACCCCUAUGAUAGCUGCCAUCAUUCAGUUGGGGCAC
Molecule: ribosomal RNA, 1103 nt
Filed under: Streptococcus thermophilus
Lineage: Bacteria; Bacillati; Bacillota; Bacilli; Lactobacillales; Streptococcaceae
Description: bacterial SSU rRNA
Rfam family: Bacterial small subunit ribosomal RNA
Source: RNAcentral